RNAcentral lists this ribosomal RNA (253 nucleotides) under uncultured bacterium. Its description in RNAcentral is "partial 16S ribosomal RNA". It matches the Rfam family "Bacterial small subunit ribosomal RNA", at positions 524 to 776 of the family's 1533-position model. The record is from RNAcentral.
GACAGAGGGGGCAAGCGUUGCUCGGAAUUACUGGGCGUAAAGGGCGCGUAGGCGGGCUGGCAAGUCGGUCGUGAAAUCCCUCGGCUCAACCGAGGAACGGCGAUCGAUACUGCUGUGCUUGAGGAUUGCAGAGGAGACUGGAAUUCCCGGUGUAGCGGUGAAAUGUGUAGAGAUCGGGAGGAACACCGGUGGCGAAGGCGGGUCUCUGGGCAAUUCCUGACGCUGAGGCGCGAAAGCGUGGGGAGCAAACGGG